UGUGCCCUGGGAUAGAUAAGCGA
This 23-nucleotide microRNA is filed under the name Monodelphis domestica (gray short-tailed opossum). Its description in RNAcentral is "mdo-miR-1545d-4-5p". Lineage: Eukaryota; Metazoa; Chordata; Mammalia; Didelphimorphia; Didelphidae. The record is from miRBase by way of RNAcentral.